UUGCAGAGAACGCGGAUGAGACCUUCAGUUUGUGCCCACACUCAUUUGCAGCAACCCUAACAGAGAUUGCGAAGAUUUUCAAAGUGGGGCACCUCGAUUUCUCGAAUCUGUGGUGUGGCGAAUAUCCGUGUUCCUCCUGCUUAACUAGCCUGUUUGGCAGGUCUGAUUCUAUUUAUUCUAAAGACAGAGUUGGAGAUGGGCUACCAUUGGUGUUGAUUGAGAUGACAAGCAGUCACCUGAGCCCAUACAGCUGGUAAGUAGAACAGUACUGGAGAGAUGGCUCAGCAGUUAAGAGCACUGACUGCUCUUCCAGAGAUCCUGAGUUCAAUUCCCAGCAACCACAUGGUGGCUCACAAACAUCUGUAAUGAGAU
RNAcentral lists this long non-coding RNA (372 nucleotides) under Mus spicilegus (steppe mouse). RNAcentral's name for it is "lncRNA (ENSMSIG00000003260.1)". The record is from RNAcentral. Lineage: Eukaryota; Metazoa; Chordata; Mammalia; Rodentia; Muridae.